This 465-nucleotide ribosomal RNA is filed under the name uncultured bacterium. Its description in RNAcentral is "partial 16S ribosomal RNA". It matches the Rfam family "Bacterial small subunit ribosomal RNA", at positions 338 to 795 of the family's 1533-position model. The record is from RNAcentral.
CCUACGGGAGGCAGCAGUGGGGAAUAUUGCGCAAUGGGCGAAAGCCUGACGCAGCGACGCCGCGUGAGGGAUGAAGGUCUUCGGAUCGUAAACCUCUGUCAGCAGGGAAGAACGGUCACUGUGCUAAUCAGCAGUGAAUUGACGGUACCUGCAAAGGAAGCACCGGCUCACUCCGUGCCAGAAGCCGAGGUAAUACGGAGGGUGCGAGCGUUAAUCGGAAUUACUGGGCGUAAAGCGCUCGUAGGCGGUAUGUCAAGUCAAGGGUGAAAUCCCCGCGCUCAACGUGGGAACUGCCGUUGAAACUGGCAAACUAGAGUGUGUGAGAGGAUAGUGGAAUUCCAGGUGUAGGGGUGAAAUCCGUAGAUAUCUGGAAGAACAUCAGUGGCGAAGGCGACUAUCUGGCACAUAACUGACGCUGAGGAACGAAAGCGUGGGUAGCAAACAGGAUUAGAUACCCGUGUAGUC